This is a long non-coding RNA of Gallus gallus (chicken), 1623 nucleotides long. Lineage: Eukaryota; Metazoa; Chordata; Aves; Galliformes; Phasianidae. The record is from Ensembl.
GAAACGAUGAUGGCAGAAACAGCUUCCUCUGGAUAAUUAGCAUAAAUAUCUGCUUAGAACUGAGUAAUUUGUUCGCUGUACAGGAUGUACUGCAGCAGUUUUAUGAGCUAAAAGACACGGGGAAUGUUUUGAAUGACUGACAUUUGAAACAGCGCAGGCAGAUAUCGGGCACUUCUCAGGGACUGCCACGCUAAAAAGCCCCAUCAGAGUGGAUGAGUGUCCAUUCCCACCCAGCAUGGGGCCAGCCGUCCCUGGGGGGCUUCACCCAGACGUAUCCCUGCAGCUUCCCACUCAAAGCAAUGUUUCCACUUAGCGGAGGACUGGGGGGGAUCCAGACACUGACAACGGGAAAGGGAGAAUGUAGAAACAAAUGGAAAGAGAGAAGAAGAUGAAAAAAUCGGUGCUUUCUGCUGUCUUUGAAAUAAAACACGUGGUUUUCAAAAUGGUGACCUUUUCCAAACGGCCUUCAGAAAAGUGGGUCAUUUUGUUCCUCAGAAGCCGUGCUUGACAAGUGUGACUGGAGAAAGUGCCAUGGAGGACAGCCAUGGCUUUGGGGACAGGUCCAGCAGCGCUCCCCACGUGUCCAUCACAUCCAUCUCCAGCUGCCAAGAAGGCUUUCUUCAGGCUUCCUUUAUGCAUGCCUCUCCUCCAGAGCUCAGUGUGGAAAUGGGAAAGCCCAGAAAUGCUGUGUGCGUUGAGAAAGGACCAGAAGGAACAGCUCGCAUUCCUUUCCCAGCCCAGAAGUUCCCAACCCUCAGGGACUCAACGUAACCAAGUCCUGGAGCCACUUCUGCAGAACACAUAUUGGUGGGAGCUGGGAGAAGACGCUUCCCUGAGCCAUAGUUUGAAGGUGUCCCUGGGGACAAUUUCUGCUGUUCACAGGUUACCAACGAUCGGCAGAGCAGGAGUAAUUCAUCUGUGUGGGGAACCUGCGUUUGACCUGCUGAGUAGUAAGAAAAUACCUACAUCAAAAACCUUUUAUUUUUUUCAGGAUAAAAUUCAGAGUUGAAGCCCCCCUCCCCACUCUGCAGAACUUUGGUGAACAAAUGCAAAAUCUGAGGAAAAGAGAGUCAUUUGUUUAUAAAAUGUUGGUUAAAUCCCAUUAUUCUGGCUGUACUACUAACAUUAAUACCAGGUCUGUUGGUCAUAACUCUUUCUCAAAUUGCACAUAAUGGGCAGUCAAGAUCAAGAUCAGUUGCCCCUGAGCCAAGCAGACCAGGAGACCACCAGGACUACUUCUUCCAUGACUGCCCCUAUUGAUGGGAUUGUUGCAGAAGGGGUAUCAUGAGGGUUGGGUCUCAGCCUAGUAAAGAGCAGGGUAGGUCACUGGGACUGCAUAGCUUUGGUUCGAAGCAAGAAAGGAUGUGUCUGGCUGUUUGCUGCUGUGUGUGCUCCUGGUGCCAGCUCCACUUCUGGCCCAGAGACCCCCAGCUGGACAGAAUAAAAUCAAGCAGAAUGCAUCAAGGAGAACGGGAACAGUAUUUAAUUCGCCUGCAGUGGCCCUCUUUUUCUAGUCCUAGUAGAGCCAGUCAAAACAUUUUGAACCAGGAGGUUUUCCACUGGAAAAUGCUAUUCUUUCUGAAGUCAAACAGGAACUUGUUCAAAUGUCAGUGACAGUUUUUG